Molecule: ribosomal RNA, 209 nt
Filed under: uncultured bacterium
Lineage: Bacteria
Description: partial 16S ribosomal RNA
Rfam family: Bacterial small subunit ribosomal RNA
Source: RNAcentral
UAGACGAGGGGAGUAACUAUUAGGAAACGAUAGCUAAGACCGCAUAGGUACGGACACUGCAUGGUGACGUAUUAAAGUGCCUCAAAGCACUGGUAGAGGAUGGACUUAUGGCGCAUUAGCUGGUUGGCGGGGUAACGGCCCACCAAGGCGACGAUGCGUAGCCGACCUGAGAGGGUGACCGGCCACACUGGGACUGAGACACGGCCCAG